AAAAUUUCUUUUACUGAGAAACUUUUCUUUCGAGGAUUGACUGAAGUUAAAUCGGCAACUUUUCCUACAGUUACCUAAUUUGUAACAAAGAAAAGUCCUUUCCCUGGUCUAUUCCACUUGCAAGGUAGGGAUGUAACUGGAAUGAUAGGCUUUGGAUUUACGAUUUGAACAUUAUUGGAAGAGGUAGAAUUUUCCUCUUUGGUAUGAGCAAUUGCUUGCUGAAGUAAAGCACUCACGUGGAUGCAACUGCAACCAAGCCUGUGUUAUGGAAAUAUAUUUGUACAAAAAUA
Molecule: long non-coding RNA, 290 nt
Organism: Daphnia magna
Lineage: Eukaryota; Metazoa; Arthropoda; Branchiopoda; Diplostraca; Daphniidae
Exons: 2
Source: RefSeq, a predicted model, not a curated record